CACGCUAAAGAGCAAUGGAACAAUGGGGUUAGCUUCGAGGGCUUGCAAAAUUUAAUACAUGGAUAUUAAAAAGAAACAAGUCUUUUUGCAAAACUUAGUAUGCUAAGUUAUACCUUAGCAUGUGAUAGGCUUUAUCUUGUGGAGAGUUGUCUCAUUGACAACCAUACCCCAUCUUCUUUUUUUUAUAUUUAUGAUUUGCUGGUAGGCUUAUGUGAUUGUUUCUAAAUUUAGAAGACUGACCACGUAAUAAUUGCUAAAAA
Molecule: long non-coding RNA, 260 nt
Filed under: Mytilus galloprovincialis (Mediterranean mussel)
Lineage: Eukaryota; Metazoa; Mollusca; Bivalvia; Mytilida; Mytilidae
Source: RNAcentral